RNAcentral lists this ribosomal RNA (513 nucleotides) under uncultured bacterium. RNAcentral describes it as "bacterial SSU rRNA". It matches the Rfam family "Bacterial small subunit ribosomal RNA", at positions 8 to 518 of the family's 1533-position model. The record is from RNAcentral.
AGGGUUCGAUUCUGACUCAGGAUGAACGCUGGCGGCGUGCUUAACACAUGCAAGUCGAACGGAGUUUUUAAAGUGGAAGUUUUCGGAUGGAAGUUUAGAAACUUAGUGGCGGACGGGUGAGUAACGCGUGGGUAACCUGCCUCAUACAGGGGGGAUAACAGUUAGAAAUGACUGCUAACACCGCAUAAUAUAGCGAAACCGCAUGAUUUUUGCUAUCAAAUAUUUAUAGGUAUGAGAUGGGCCCGCGUCUGAUUAGCUAGUUGGUGGGGUAAAAGCCUACCAAGGCGACGAUCAGUAGCCGGCUUGAGAGAGUGACCGGCCACAUUGGGACUGAGACACGGCCCAAACUCCUACGGGAGGCAGCAGUGGGGAAUAUUGGACAAUGGGGGAAACCCUGAUCCAGCCGACGCCGCGUGAGUGAAGAAGUAUUUCGGUAUGUAAAGCUCUAUCAGCAGGGAAGAUAAUGACAGUACCUGACUAAGAAGCCCCGGCUAACUACGUGCCAGCCGCCGC